AUUACUAAGCUGUCCUCAGUUACCACCAAUAGUCAAUGAUGAACCUAUCAAAUAUCAAUUAUUUGAUUACUAAGCCAUCACCUACAACUGGAACAGGUCUUUUCAAAUUUCAAUAAAAAUGAAUCCUUCCAAAUGAAUCCCUCCCUCUACCCCAUUCCCAAGUCUUUAAAUUUCAAUACAACCCUUCGAGAUUGGUUAACACGAUGCUACUUUUAUAGGAGGAAAAAUUAAUAAUUCAUAUCGUUCGAGUUGAAUGAACAAAUAAAUAGAACAGAAAAUUAAAACGGAUAAAUCGCUGCUACUUUUAUAUGAUUCUCUAAUUUGAAUGAACAGAAAAGUGAGCGGAAUGACUAACCUUUUGGAAUCGAGGUUGGAUCUGGGAUGUCGAAAGGGUCGAGAGGAAGCUCGCAGGUCGCGAGGGAGGACUGAGGGAGAGCGAUUCUGACCGCUGGGCUAAGGCGUGAGUGAGCUGGGAUUGAGAAGGUACACAGGAAGAGGAGAGGAUGAGGGAAGGUGCUGUGAGGGACUCUCACAACGAACUGAACGAAGUAGGGUUAAUUUCAGAAAGAAAGAAAAUCGAUUGUUUUCUUAGUAGGGUAAAAACAACAUCGUCUUUUAUAUAACUUCCGUUCAGUUCCGAAACUGAACCAGACCAUUUCGAUUUGGUUCAGUUUUUUCAUUUUGGUUCGGUUUUUUCUUCGAUUCGUUUAUUUCAAUUACAGUUUGGCUUUCAAUCCGAUUUUUUCAGUUUUCGGUUUUUCGAACUCAACCCUAUUUUCCAUGCUAUGUGUCUGAUUGGUUGGAGUGUGUCAUUUGUUAGAUGCAAUAAGAAAUUAUUUUUAGGAUGCUGAAAUAUCUUAAAAAUACUUAAGAACAAUCGUUAAGAUAUUAUUAAAUUAAUAAUAUCCUAAGAAUAUCUUUCGAGAUUUUUAUUUCUUUGAACAAAUUAACAAAGGAGAUGUCUUCUACCCGGAAAGAUUAAAGGUAGGAAUCUGUUUUCUACAUUUAAUUUAUUUGUCAUUAUCUCAUUGUCUUUGACAGCAGAAUUUGAGAAAGUUGUAGUCUGCAGUUUAAGGCUUUUUGGUAGUUGAACGGAUAGUAGAAUAAAAUUGAGUAUCACUAAUUAUUAAGGGCAUUCUCGAUAAUAAUGAAUAAAAGUUUAUUCCAUAAUUUUACAGAUUAUUCUUUGCUCCACAAACCCCCUCUUACUAAGUGAUUUGAUGAAUCGACAUGCACUAUCUUUCUAGUCUUAUGUAAUGGCCAAGUCAACUAAAAGGGAAAAAUUAGGAAUUCUAGAUUUAUAAAUAAAAUGAUAUGCACUAUCUUUCUAGUCUUAUGUAAUGGCCAAGUCGAUAUGCACCUUGGAGAUUAAAAUUUUAAAUUAAAUCUACAAAUAAAACCUUCUAAUUAAAAUAGAACAUGAAUAAGAAAUAUGAGAUAAAAAUGUAAUUUCAUACAACCAAAUUUUGUUUUUUUUUUUCAAAGCUUCACCUACAUGUAAUCCUAACAUAUCUCUAAUUAAAAAAAUUAAAAAAAUUGUUCUGCUCCCAUAUUCUCUAUCACUCUCUUCCUCUCUCCUUCUAUUUCAAAAAAAAAAAUAUAUAUAAAUUCUCACACACUUUAUGUGUGCCCAUAUGCUAAUAUGAUUUAUAAAAUUUAGUCGUUCUAACUUUUCUCAAGUUUCAACAAUCAAAAGAAAAAAACACAAAAACAGUAUAAAGUGAGACUAAAAACUAGAAAAGAAUGAUUAUCAACGAACCCUUUAAGAUUUUUACGUGCAAGAGUUCACCAUCAUUUGCCUCAUAAAAAAUAGAAGUUUUCAAAGGAGUGACUUUCAUAGCCACAUCUCAUACAAUGUUUCCAUUCUAGUAGUUUAAAUAAAAUUAGCAUCAAUCCAAAAAUUCGUUUAAGCAAAUGAUUCCCCUAUCAUGUGAAAAAUUAGCAGUUAACUUGAUAGUGUAACAGACCGAUAAAAAUUUUGAAGAGUUCUGUUCACCGGAACAUUUUGCCCGUAGCUUUGCCGUUUUAAUUUUUAAUGGAUGAGAUCGGUCUGCCAUGCACAACCAGCACAAGUGGCAGCAGCCCACCAUCAUUGCCAUGCUGAAUGUCCUUAUCUAUCCUUCAGCUUAUUCUGGGACAUAAGUCUAUGUCUGGGUUGAUGAUUUGUCAAAUCUGUACUGAAAAAUGUUUAAUACUACUCCGAAAGUUUAAACUAUUGCCACGUUCUCCUCUUUUAUAUUUUCUAAACAUUUUUAUGAAAAAAAACAAAAAACAAAAAACACUAAUAAAAAGAAUUUGAAAAUUUUAAAUUUUAACGAUAAUGAUAAAAUAAAGAACAAAGUGAAUAGUAUUAAAACUAAUUUUCAAUGUAAAAAUAUGAUUUUUUUUUUUUAAAUGAACAGUACCAAAAGAUUUUCGUUAAAGUUCCUGAACAAAAACACGUCUGAUUAUAUGCGGUCAAAACACAAUAAUAUGUCACAGGGUUCGAUGACAGUUCAGAUUAUACUUACUAUUUUAGUUAGAUAUAAUAAUUUGUUAUCUGAUAAUACUGAUUGAAUUAGUUAGAGUUUUAGAGUAAUAUCAGACUAAAAUUUGACUAUUUAAUAAGUAUUGUAGAUUGUACCAGAUAAGAGAUUUUUAGAUUGCUAUCCCUUUUCGUUCAUUGCUCGGACCAAAUUAAAAAAAAAUUAAAAAAGAAAACCCAGGUCGUUUUCUUCCUUUCUACAUCAUCUUUCCCACCAGUAAACCCCAUUGAUGAACCUUCCAAUCUAGUAAAACCCACCUCUUACUGAAGAACACUACAAUCCAAGCUCCAAAUCCGAAAACUUUUUAAUUUCCAGGAAACAUGAUCCCGAUUGAUUGAAAUCCACUCUUCAAAAUCUAGCAUUCGGAUGCACAUGAAAAAUGGCAAAAAAAUUGCAUGUAGAUUGGGGUCUGCAUUAAAAAUAUCAAAAAACCCAGAAAUCCCAAACGGCAGACAAAUUAAAAAUUAAGCCAUGAAGAUAGACGAAGAAAAACUUCGGUUGGACAAGAAGAAGAUUGAACAUAGAAGAAGCAGAUUCGCUAGAGCAAGUCCAUCGGUGUCAACUCAGAUUCGCCAAAUGAUUCAACAUAAGAGCAGUUUCACCCCUAAAAAGUCAUCUGGGCAAUAGAGAAUUCAAUUCCCUGAAUACAAACUCUAUUCUUAAAUUGAAUAAUUAGGCAAUUUGUAUUAAAAUAUUUUUUUUAUAAAAUAAUAAAAAUAACUUAUUUUUAAUUUUGAAUAGGAUUUUUAAAUUUGAAUACAAUUUUGUGAAUAGAUUUUUAAGUUUAUUUGCAAGCAUAAGUAUGUGAAAAUUUUGUAAGAAAGAUUAGUUGAAAGUAAUUGCAAAUAUUGCAAUGUGGUGUAAGGCGGAGGAUAAUGGUUAGAUAUAUAUAUUUUUUAAUAAUUUUUAUUAACUUAACUAAUCUGGAUCAUUAGACUACAAAAAUUUUGAAAUUCCAUAGCCUAGAUUUUGACAUGUGCC
This 3506-nucleotide long non-coding RNA is filed under the name Malus domestica (apple). RNAcentral's name for it is "long non-coding RNA (MDOM_LNC002178)". Lineage: Eukaryota; Viridiplantae; Streptophyta; Magnoliopsida; Rosales; Rosaceae. The record is from RNAcentral.